AUGGUGCUUGGAGACUUCAACAUGAUCAUUGGAGCCGAGGAGAAAAGCAACUCUAAUCUUAAUAGGAGCAUGAUGAGGAAGUUCAAAUCGUUCGUGGACAACAAUGAACUCAAAGAGAUUUACAUGCAUGGCAGGAGGUUCACGUGGUCUAACGAGAGAGAGCAGGUGGUUAUGACCAAGAUCGAUCGGGUGCUUGUCUCUGUUGACUGGGAGCUCAAUUUCCCGGACGUGCUGCUCCAAGCUCUCUCCACCAACAUCUCGGACCACGCGCCCCUCCAUCUUUCCACUUCGGCCCCCUUCUGCCCGAAGCGUAGGUUUCGUUUUGAGCUUUUUUGGACUCGUUUGGAUGGAUUUGAGCAGGCUGUCAAAGACGCAUGGGUGUGUGAAGGCGAUAUUGUUGACCCUUUUAAGAGGCUUGAUCAGUUGCUCAGAAACACCGCUUCUGCCCUUCAAGCCUGGGGCCAAAAGAAGAUGGGGAACAUCAAAAUUCAGUUGGCUGUGGUGAACUAUGUCAUACAUAGGCUGGACAGAGCUAUGGAGGCCCGGGUUCUCAAUUGGAAGGGGAGAUGGUUGAGUAGGUCCCUUAAGCAUUCGGUCCUUGGGCUUGCCUCCCUUCAACGCACCAUUGAAAGACAACGCUCCAGAAUUAGAUGGAUCCGAGAAGGAGAUGCUAAUACUAAACUUUUCCAAGCAGUGGCUAAUGGAAGGAGGUCUAAGAACUUCAUCCCUCAUAUUAGACACAAUGGGGAACUGAUUUCCCAACAAGAGAGGAAGGAGGAGAUCUUCACCGAAGCCUAUGAGCAGCUGUUGGGUCGUGCCGCUGCCAGGGAGGUAGAUGUGGAUAUGGAUUUCCUUGACAUGGCAGGGCACGAUCUCGUGGAGCUUGAUGCGAUCUUCACGGAGGAGGAGGUGUGGAAAACCAUCAAGGAAUUGCACCCGGAUCGGGGCGCCAGGGCCGGAUGGAUUCAGCGCAAUUUUUUUAUCAAAAAGCCUGGUCCACUAUCAAGAACGAAGUUAUGUCGGUGCUUCUAA
Molecule: ribosomal RNA, 1032 nt
Filed under: Triticum aestivum (bread wheat)
Lineage: Eukaryota; Viridiplantae; Streptophyta; Magnoliopsida; Poales; Poaceae
Description: partial small subunit ribosomal RNA
Source: RNAcentral